CCCAAGUCAUGGUUAAGUGGGAAACGAUGUGGGAAGGCACAGACAGCCAGGAUGUUGGCUUAGAAGCAGCCAUCAUUUAAAGAAAGCGUAAUAGCUCACUGGUCGAGUCGGCCUGCGCGGAAGAUGUAACGGGGCUAAACCAUGCACCGAAGCUGCGGCAGCGACGCUUAUGCGUUGUUGGGUAGGGGAGCGUUCUGUAAGCCGUUGAAGGUGGCCUGUGAGGGUUGCUGGAGGUAUCAGAAGUGCGAAUGCUGACAUAAGUAACGAUAAAGCGGGUGAAAAGCCCGCUCGCCGGAAGACCAAGGGUUCCUGUCCAACGUUAAUCGGGGCAGGGUGAGUCGACCCCUAAGGCGAGGCCGAAAAGGCGUAGUCGAUGGGAAACAGGUUAAUAUUCCUGUACUUGGUGUUACUGCGAAGGGGGGGGGACGGAGAAGGCUAUGUCAGCCGGGGCGACGGUUGUCCCGGUUUAAGCAUGUAGGCGGAGGUUCCAGGUAAAUCCGGUACCUUAUUAACGCUGAGGUGUGAUGACGAGGCACUACGGUGCUGA
Molecule: non-coding RNA, 547 nt
Filed under: Microbacterium sp. SUBG005
Lineage: Bacteria; Bacillati; Actinomycetota; Actinomycetes; Micrococcales; Microbacteriaceae
Description: bacterial LSU rRNA
Rfam family: Bacterial large subunit ribosomal RNA
Source: RNAcentral